This 250-nucleotide ribosomal RNA is filed under the name uncultured prokaryote. Its description in RNAcentral is "partial 16S ribosomal RNA". It matches the Rfam family "Bacterial small subunit ribosomal RNA", at positions 524 to 773 of the family's 1533-position model. The record is from RNAcentral.
UACGUAGGGAGCGAGCGUUAUCCGGAAUUACUGGGUGUAAAGGGAGCGUAGGCGGAUAUGCAAGUUGAAUGUGGAAUUUAUGGGCUUAACCCAUAAACUGCGUUCAAAACUGUAGAUCUUGAGUGAAGUAGAGGCAGAUGGAAUUCCUAGUGUAGCGGUGGAAUGCAUAGAUAUUAGGAGGAACGCCAGUGGCGAAAGCGAUUUGCUGGGCUUUAACUGACGCUGAGGCUCGAAAGCAUGGGGAGCAAAC